Long non-coding RNA from Glycine soja, 3004 nucleotides. RefSeq lists it as uncharacterized. NCBI's taxonomy places the organism in Eukaryota, Viridiplantae, Streptophyta, Magnoliopsida, Fabales, Fabaceae. The record is from RefSeq and is a predicted model, not a curated record. The transcript has 3 exons.
ACUUGGAAGAAUGGCAUUGGCAUAUAUGGCUUGAAUGGCACGGCAAGCAUUCAUUCCAUUCCACUUGAUAAAGAGAAACCCUCUUUUCUCUCCUCCAAUAAUCCUUUCCUUAUUUCUUUUCGCCAGUCUCACCAAGCCACUUUGUUUUUUCUUUCUCCCUCAACCUAACCUCCUUUCACUUCACUUCACCCUUCUCUUUCACUAUGGAGACAACUGCUACAGCUACUACUUCCGCACCCAACACUCGACGCCGCUCAUUCCGCUGCUCCUUCGUCACACGCUGCUGUCGCUGCUUCUGCUGUUUCUACUCCUUCCCUUAAACUAACAAAUGCACCACCCAACCCGGUUUUCUCACUGCACCUUCUCGUUCCGCGCGAAUCUUAUUUCCAAUCAUCGCUGCACACACAUUACAACCUUCGAAGCGUUCCCUUUUAGGAAAUUUCUAGUCCAUUUGAUUACUGUGACUGCAACCCGUAAGAGUCUUCAAAGUCCAUAGCGUAUCAUCUUUUACCGAAGAGGGACAAAACCCAGGAAGCAAGGCAAGGUUCCAAACUAUGGAUAUGACCCUAGUUGUCAUUUUGAGGAGAAGAUAAAUUUUGCUUUAUUUUUAAUUAAUUACACUGCUGCUCCAGCCAUUGCUUUAGAACAAGGUAAGGUUCCAAUGUACAAAUCAUAUAUGUAACAGGUGAAGAAAAGUACAAAUGCAUUAGCGUCUGCUUUGUUGGAAAAAAAAAUGUAGAUUAGUGACAAAUGAGACUCACAAUCAUCUGUUGUUGUGCGAUCUAACAAUACUUGGAUUAAUUGGUAAUUUGGUAUUUUUUUAUUCCACAUUUUGCAAUAUGUUUCAAAGAAUUACAGAUUUGAAAUGAUUAUGCUGUAUUUCCAUAAUAAAAAUUUAUUAUUUGGUGUGCUGGUGGUGGGAAAUAGUGCAAUUAUAUGAGCAACUUAGAAUUUAUGACUUUGUCUCUAAUAAAUUAAAAUUGUAUGAUUUAUAUAUAGAAAACGAAGGGUUAAUAUAUAUUAAGAGGAAUAACUUAUUCACUGAUUGUUCUAAUAACUUUGAUUUGGCAUUUUGGCUUGUUUUACUUUACCACCUCGUGGUUUACAAUGAAUUUGCUCCUCUAGUUAGCACAUAAUCCCUGUAGAUUUUUCUCUUCAAUUCUUUUUGCUGAAUAAGCUUAUGAUCAAGUGCUGUGCAAAAAAAAAAGCUUAUGAUCAAGUAACCCCAUUGACUAAGGUGGAAAUGUAUUGUGAUUAGUGAUUACACCCUAAAUUAACUUCAUGCGUAGUUUUUAUUUAUUUAUUAUUCCCAGGUAAUAAUGCAUUUUUAGAACUAUGAAGUUGGGGUCUUAUUUUCUAUGAUCAGAUAAUUUUUUUCCCCUUAUGUAGGUUUCUCCUAAUUUAAUAUUUUUAAUUGAUGUAAAAUAUUUAAAGGAACUAUUUAAGCUUUUAAGCAAUUUGGGUGAGAUUUUUAAAUUUAGGGAUAGGUUAAGACUAAGAAACAGGUGGAUUGAGUUUUAUUAAAAAUGUCUUAAAACAGGGUGGCCUGGAAGAUAUUUGAAGAUUAAGGACAAAAGUUUGGGAGCUGUGAAUACUUCUUAUGACAGAAGAUUUGGUGGCGUCUAAUGUGGGUUGUUGGCCAUUCUUUUUGGGUCCUUGGUUUUUGGCCCAUUCAAGUGAAAACAAAUUAGUCCUAUAGCAGGAAACGUUAAACUUCUGUUAUUGUCUGGUAAUAGAGACAGAUCCACGAAAGACUUAAUAGUAAAGAAAUUAGAAGUUGAAGAAAGAGAGGAUAAAUAGCUUAGGUUUCUUGCAUUAAAAAUCUAAGUGGUGCAAUCUUAAAUAACUGAAUUUAGACCUUUGUUCAUAUAUCAUUACUAUUUAAAGUUCAUGGUUUUAUCUAUUUCAAUUUGAUAUUUAUGCUAUUCUUAUAUUUAUAUUGUUGACUGGUUAUAUAUCAUGAUUCUCGGUUGACUGGUUGCAGCACCUCUAGACUCAUGUAUUUAAUAGCUCUAGGAUGUAUUGGAAUCUAAUGUACCUUAAUCCAAUAUGCGCUUUCUAUAAAAAUCAUGGAUAGGCCUAGAAAGUGUUACACAAAUUUCCAAUUUGAAUUUAAUGGGGUAUUUUCUUUUGCAAGCGCAAGAUAUUUGUUUUGUUUGUCUCUGUUUUUCUUCUUGUGUUUUGGAAGCUAUAUUCAUGUAGCAUUUGUAGAAGGUUGGUUUGGUAGGGGCCAGGAAGGAGAAGAAAAACAAAUCUUAUUUUGUUUUCUUGGCUGAUCCUUAUCUUCCAUCAAAUCAUAUUGUUUUGGAAUAGUACAGAUCCAUUUGUUUUACUUGGUUUGUUAAACUAUGUAUUCCCUUAUGUGUCUUUGUAGGUGUAUUUCACUCAUGCUUCUAAAUGCCCUUUUUCCCUACUGUAAAUUAUGUCUUUGAAGUUGAAGUUGACAUGAGAAUACUCUCUAAAUCAUUUUAUUAUUCAAAGCAGAAAAGAAUUAUGAAAAAGUCUGUGAGGUGUGCUACACCAUGCUCAAGAAAUGUGCUGUUUAUAAUUCUACAUUUUCUGGUGGAGUGAAAAUUGGAAAUAACAGUGACAUAAAGAUGUUAUUGAGCUCGGAAAUGAAGUUGAGACAUUUGCUUCCAGUUUGCAAUGCCAGGAUUCAGUAUUUGAUUUGAAUUUGUAAAAUCAGCCGACUCCAUAUGUCUCCAUUAAAUCUAUUAUGAUAAGUAUUGGCUUACAACAUAUUGUGUGGUAAGCCAUUUGGUUUUAUUCCUUGCUCAUAUCGUCACAUAGUUAGCUUCUGUAAAAUAGAAGUGAGACCAUAUUGCCAAAGCCAUAAAUCGCAUCAACAGUCUGCUUAGUUCUGACUUUGAUAUUGUACAAAGGUUUCUCUUCUCAACCAUAAUUUUUGUUACUUUGACUGGGAUGAAACUUUGUUAUGUAGUAUGUACAUGUUACUGCUGAACAGACUAGUACAUAAAUGAGAGAUCUUAUCUUUCAGUGCUCA